This 1093-nucleotide long non-coding RNA is filed under the name Olea europaea (common olive). RNAcentral's name for it is "long non-coding RNA (OEUR_LNC012161)". Lineage: Eukaryota; Viridiplantae; Streptophyta; Magnoliopsida; Lamiales; Oleaceae. The record is from RNAcentral.
CUAAUAUGAAAAUAACUUCAAGAAAUUUAGAUUAUUUUCCAUAAUAAGUUAAUCUAAAUGAUAUAUUUUGGUUUCAAUUGUACAACAAAGUCAUUUGCUAAACGUGAUACAUAUAGUCGCUACAACACAAAAAAUGUUGAUUAAAAGUAUAGGUUGUUCUAAGCACAAAGCUAAUUUAUCUUCAUCGUGUAGCAAACAAAAGAACAUAUGCAGUUCUAGGUGUCAACAAAUCCAGCUUGGCCUCCCGUUCAUGCAUUGGACAAUCACGCUAGAUUGCAUAUGUCGUAGCUUUGUUGAGGGUUGCAACAAUCGUCUGCAAUUCAAUGUUCAACUCUGAUGAAGUAUACUCUAUGCGUAAGAGACUUAAUGGACAAAAAUAUGAAUAUCAAAUUAAAGAUUGCAAUCACAAGCCUUAUAAAAAAAUUCCCUUUGAAUGGCAAAGGAUCGAGUAUUGAUAUGUGGAGGGGUAGAAGAGACCCACUCUGGAUGCUCGAUACAUAGUCUCAUCCUAACAAUUUACUUACCAUGUUCAAUUGUGUCAAUCCAUAGACAUCAUAAACAUGCGAUUUUGCUGCCUAAAUUGAAAAAUUAUGAUCCAACUGAGCUUCAUCAUCAUAGGGUGUCACAUCAAUCAUUUUUGUUACAUAUAACUUGGUUGAGAAGAGACUCGUAGCAAAUGUUAAUCGCAUAUUAUAUAUUUGCACCAAAUAGAUGAUGCAUCACCUCAGAUAACAAUAGUAUUCCGAAUGAAGCAUUUAAAUGAAUGAUUUAAUCAGGGGCAACCUAUGAAGCAGUCGCCCCCUGCUAGAUUUUCAAAUUCAAAUUUUUAGAUUUUUUUUGUUUUGUUUCUUUUUCAAUUCAUUUGAAAUAUUUUUUUAUGUAAUUGUGUCUCGCCUACAUUGAACCGUAAUCCUGGAUCCGUCUCUGAAAUUAAUCACCUCAAAAGGGGCAUGUGGAAGAGGUUAUGCGAAAUGAAAUAUCAAAAUUGCGUGACCUUUUUACUUAAUUGGUGGUCACGUGAUCUACCUCGUACUUAAGGCAUAAUCGAGGCACCUAUUCCAAUUGCGGGAUGAUGAUUAUUUGGAAGAAGAAG